AUUGAACGCUGGCGGCAUGCUUUACACAUGCAAGUCGAACGGUAACAGGUUAAGCUGACGAGUGGCGAACGGGUGAGUAAUGCAUCGGAACGUGCCCGGUCGUGGGGGAUAACGCAGCGAAAGCUGCGCUAAUACCGCAUACGAACUGAGGAUGAAAGCGGGGGACCGUAAGGCCUCGCGCGAUCGGAGCGGCCGAUGUCAGAUUGGGGAGUUGGGGGGGUAAAGGCUCACCAAGCCAACGAUCUGGAGCGGGUCUGAGAGGACGACCAGCCACACGGGGAGUGAGACACGGCCCAGACUCCUACGGGAGGCAGCGGUGGGGAAUUUUGGACAAUGGGCGAAAGCCUGAUCUAGCAAUGCCGCGUGCAGGAAGAAGGCCUUCGGGUUGGAAACUGCUUUUGUACGGAGCGAAAAGGUCUCCUCUAAUACAGGGGGCUCAUGACGGUACCGUAAGAAGAAGCACCGGCUAACUACGUGCCAGCAGCCGCAGUAA
This 493-nucleotide ribosomal RNA is filed under the name uncultured bacterium. RNAcentral describes it as "partial 16S ribosomal RNA". It matches the Rfam family "Bacterial small subunit ribosomal RNA", at positions 29 to 523 of the family's 1533-position model. The record is from RNAcentral.